Myotis brandtii (Brandt's bat) is the source of this 75-nucleotide non-coding RNA. The record is from Rfam. Lineage: Eukaryota; Metazoa; Chordata; Mammalia; Chiroptera; Vespertilionidae.
GGUGGUUCUCGGGUGAAGCACCCCAGAAUUGAGCUUCCUCUUUUCUGGUUCCCGGUGCGUCACCCGAGAACCGCA